Molecule: unclassified non-coding RNA, 148 nt
Organism: Pongo abelii (Sumatran orangutan)
Lineage: Eukaryota; Metazoa; Chordata; Mammalia; Primates; Hominidae
Rfam family: Metazoan signal recognition particle RNA
About the family: The signal recognition particle (SRP) is a universally conserved ribonucleoprotein.
Source: Ensembl
GCCAGGUGUGGUGGUGUGCACCUGUAGUCCCAGUUGCUCGGGAGGCUGAGGCAGGAGGAUCACUUGAGCCCAGGAGGUUGAGGCUGCAGUGAGCCCUGAUUGCACCACUGCAUUCCAGCCUGGGUGACAGAGUGAGACCCUGUCUUAA